GGGCGGUUAGCUCAGCUGGUAGAGCAUCAGUCUUACAAACUGGGGGUCACUGGUUCGAAUCCAGUAUCGCCCACCA
Molecule: transfer RNA, 76 nt
Filed under: Candidatus Chromulinivorax destructor
Lineage: Bacteria; Candidatus Babeliae; Candidatus Babeliales; Candidatus Chromulinivoracaceae
Description: Candidatus Dependentiae bacterium (ex Spumella elongata CCAP 955/1) tRNA-Val
Rfam family: tRNA
About the family: Transfer RNA (tRNA) molecules are approximately 80 nucleotides in length. Their secondary structure includes four short double-helical elements and three loops (D, anti-codon, and T loops). Further hydrogen bonds mediate the characteristic L-shaped molecular structure. tRNAs have two regions of fundamental functional importance: the anti-codon, which is responsible for specific mRNA codon recognition, and the 3' end, to which the tRNAs corresponding amino acid is attached (by aminoacyl-tRNA synthetases). tRNAs cope with the degeneracy of the genetic code in two manners: having more than one tRNA (with a specific anti-codon) for a particular amino acid; and 'wobble' base-pairing, i.e. permitting non-standard base-pairing at the 3rd anti-codon position.
Source: RNAcentral